UACGUAGGGUGCAAGCGUUGUCUGGAAUUAUUGGGCGUAAAGAGCUCGUAGGCGGUCUGUCGCGUCGGCUGUGAAAACUUGGGGCUCAACCCCAAGCCUGCAGUCGAUACGGGCAGACUAGAGUCCGGCAGGGGAGACUGGAAUUCCUGGUGUAGCGGUGAAAUGCGCAGAUAUCAGGAGGAACACCGGUGGCGAAGGCGGGUCUCUGGGCCGGAACUGACGCUGAGGAGCGAAAGCGUGGGGAGCGAACAGG
Molecule: ribosomal RNA, 253 nt
Filed under: uncultured bacterium
Lineage: Bacteria
Description: partial 16S ribosomal RNA
Rfam family: Bacterial small subunit ribosomal RNA
Source: RNAcentral